RNAcentral lists this ribosomal RNA (255 nucleotides) under uncultured bacterium. RNAcentral's name for it is "partial 16S ribosomal RNA". It matches the Rfam family "Bacterial small subunit ribosomal RNA", at positions 526 to 779 of the family's 1533-position model. The record is from RNAcentral.
CAUAGGGGGCAAGCGUUAUCCGGAAUUAUUGGGCGUAAAGGGUGAGUAGGCGGUUUUGUAAAGUUUGGGGGUGUAAGUGCAGUGCUUAACGCUGUGAGGCUCCAAAAACUGGCAAACUAGAGUUAGAUAGAGGCAAGUGGAAUUCCAUGUGUAGCGGUAAAAUGCGUAAAUAUAUGGAGGAACACCAGUGGCGAAGGCGGCUUGCUGGGUCUAUACUGACGCUGAGGCACGAAAGCGUGGGGAGCAAACAGGAUU